This 1346-nucleotide ribosomal RNA is filed under the name uncultured bacterium. RNAcentral describes it as "bacterial SSU rRNA". It matches the Rfam family "Bacterial small subunit ribosomal RNA", at positions 28 to 1381 of the family's 1533-position model. The record is from RNAcentral.
GACGAACGCUGGCGGCGUGCUUAACACGUGCAAGUCGAACGGAAAGGCCCUGCUUUUGUGGGGUGCUCGAGUGGCGAACGGGUGAGUAACACGUGAGUAACCUGCCCUUGACUUUGGGAUAACUUCAGGAAACUGGGGCUAAUACCGGAUAGGAGCUCCUGCUGCAUGGUGGGGGUUGGAAAGUUUCGGCGGUUGGGGAUGGACUCGCGGCUUAUCAGCUUGUUGGUGGGGUAGUGGCUUACCAAGGCUUUGACGGGUAGCCGGCCUGAGAGGGUGACCGGCCACAUUGGGACUGAGAUACGGCCCAGACUCCUACGGGAGGCAGCAGUGGGGAAUAUUGCACAAUGGGCGGAAGCCUGAUGCAACAACGCCGCGUGCGGGAUGACGGCCUUCGGGUUGUAAACCGCUUUCGCCUGUGACGAAGCGUGAGUGACGGUAAUGGGUAAAGAAGCACCGGCUAACUACGUGCCAGCAGCCGCGGUGAUACGUAGGGUGCGAGCGUUGUCCGGAUUUAUUGGGCGUAAAGGGCUCGUAGGUGGUUGAUCGCGUCGGAAGUGUAAUCUUGGGGCUUAACCCUGAGCGUGCUUUCGAUACGGGUUGACUUGAGGAAGGUAGGGGAGAAUGGAAUUCCUGGUGGAGCGGUGGAAUGCGCAGAUAUCAGGAGGAACACCAGUGGCGAAGGCGGUUCUCUGGGCCUUUCCUGACGCUGAGGAGCGAAAGCGUGGGGAGCGAACAGGCUUAGAUACCCUGGUAGUCCACGCUGUAAACGGUGGGUACUAGGUGUGGGGUCCAUUCCACGGGUUCCGUGCCGUAGCUAACGCUUUAAGUACCCCGCCUGGGGAGUACGGCCGCAAGGCUAAAACUCAAAGGAAUUGACGGGGCCCCGCACAAGCGGCGGAGCAUGCGGAUUAAUUCGAUGCAACGCGUAGAACCUUACCUGGGUUUGACAUGGAUCGGGAGUGCUCAGAGAUGGGUGUGCCUCUUUUGGGGUCGGUUCACAGGUGGUGCAUGCCUGUCGUCAGCUCGUGUCGUGAGAUGUUGGGUUAAGUCCCGCAACGAGCGCAACCCUUGUUCACUGUUGCCAGCACGUUAUGGUGGGGACUCAGUGGAGACCGCCGGGGUCAACUCGGAGGAAGGUGGGGAUGACGUCAAGUCCUCAUGCCCCUUAUGUCCAGGGCUUCACGCAUGCUACAAUGGCUGGUACAGAGAGUGGCGAGCCUGUGAGGGUGAGCGAAUCUCGGAAAGCCGGUCUCAGUUCGGAUUGGGGUCUGCAACUCGACCUCAUGAAGUCGGAGUCGCUAGUAAUCGCAGAUCAGCAACGCUGCGGUGAAUACGUUCCCGGGGCU